UACGUAGGCAGCAAGCGUUGUUCGGAGUUACUGGGCGUAAAGGGCGCGUAGGCGGCGUGUUAAGUCAGCUGUGAAAUCUCCGAGCUUAACUCGGAACGGUCAGCUGAUACUGAUGUGCUAGAGUGCAGAAGGGGCAAUCGGAAUUCUUGGUGUAGCGGUGAAAUGCGUAGAUAUCAAGAGGAACACCUGAGGUGAAGACGGGUUGCUGGGCUGACACUGACGCUGAUGCGCGAAAGCGUGGGGAGCAAACAGG
This 253-nucleotide ribosomal RNA is filed under the name uncultured bacterium. RNAcentral describes it as "partial 16S ribosomal RNA". It matches the Rfam family "Bacterial small subunit ribosomal RNA", at positions 524 to 776 of the family's 1533-position model. The record is from RNAcentral.